Gossypium hirsutum (cotton) is the source of this 135-nucleotide non-coding RNA. The record is from Rfam. Lineage: Eukaryota; Viridiplantae; Streptophyta; Magnoliopsida; Malvales; Malvaceae.
UAUUAAAAAUUUCAUCCAUUUCUACUGUGAAAAACUGGCGUAGCUAAUGGAAUAACCAGACAGUUACACACGUGUACCUCAUUUUUACGUACAAAGACCAAUUUUUAAUUGUAGAAAUGGAUGGAAUUUUUCAUA